This 451-nucleotide ribosomal RNA is filed under the name uncultured bacterium. RNAcentral describes it as "partial 16S ribosomal RNA". It matches the Rfam family "Bacterial small subunit ribosomal RNA", at positions 354 to 796 of the family's 1533-position model. The record is from RNAcentral.
GUGGGGAAUAUUGGACAAUGGGCGCAAGCCUGAUCCAGCCAUGCCGCGUGUGUGAAGAAGGCCUUUUGGUUGUAAAGCACUUUAAGCGAGGAGGAGGCUCCUUUAGUUAAUACCUAAAGAGAGUGGACGUUACUCGCAGAAUAAGCACCGGCUAACUCUGUGCCAGCAGCCGCGGUAAUACAGAGGGUGCGAGCGUUAAUCGGAUUUACUGGGCGUAAAGCGUGCGUAGGCGGCUUUUUAAGUCGGAUGUGAAAUACCUGAGCUUAACUUAGGAAUUGCAUUCGAUACUGGAAAGCUAGAGUAUGGGAGAGGAUGGUAGAAUUCCAGGUGUAGCGGUGAAAUGCGUAGAGAUCUGGAGGAAUACCGAUGGCGAAGGCAGCCAUCUGGCCUAAUACUGACGCUGAGGUACGAAAGCAUGGGGAGCAAACAGGAUUAGAUACCCGGGUAGUCC